This 132-nucleotide non-coding RNA is filed under the name uncultured Acetatifactor sp. Its description in RNAcentral is "FMN riboswitch (RFN element)". It matches the Rfam family "FMN riboswitch aptamer (RFN element)". Rfam says of the family: The RFN element is a highly conserved domain that is found frequently in the 5'-untranslated regions of prokaryotic mRNAs that encode for flavin mononucleotide (FMN) biosynthesis and transport proteins. Lineage: Bacteria; Bacillati; Bacillota; Clostridia; Lachnospirales; Lachnospiraceae. The record is from RNAcentral.
UUCUUCAGGGUUGGGUGUGAUUCCCUACUGGCGGUGAAGGCGUAAGCUACAGUCCGCGACCCGCAGAUCGUCUAUCUGCGGCUGAUCCGGUGCAAAUCCGGGACCAACAGUACAGUCUGGAUGAAAGAAGAA